Molecule: microRNA precursor, 106 nt
Filed under: Canis lupus familiaris (dog)
Lineage: Eukaryota; Metazoa; Chordata; Mammalia; Carnivora; Canidae
Also listed under: 1 other name
Description: mir-8834 microRNA precursor family
Rfam family: mir-8834 microRNA precursor family
Source: Rfam by way of RNAcentral
AGGAGGAACAACCACAGUGGCGGCGGCCAGCUCUGGAUCCCUGGAUUCAGCUCCCGCAGGAACUACGGAGCUCUUGGUCUGCAGGGCCUGGAGGCUCCGGGGCGGG